This is a long non-coding RNA of Coregonus clupeaformis (lake whitefish), 973 nucleotides long. RefSeq lists it as uncharacterized. The record is from RefSeq and is a predicted model, not a curated record. The transcript is spliced from 6 exons. NCBI's taxonomy places the organism in Eukaryota, Metazoa, Chordata, Actinopteri, Salmoniformes, Salmonidae.
AGAGGAGCAAAGUUCACAGAAUGUGUGUGUGUGUUACAUGAAGAACAGUGACAAAGGAUAUAACAAGUACCAAUUAGUGUCCGCUCUAGCACACCAGUCUAAACCAAUCACGCAUGUGAAAGGAAAUCAGUCAGGUGGCGGGAACCACUUCAGUCUAGCUGGCGGCUACAUCAGGAGAAGACCAAAUGUAGCCAAGCCUAUAGGCCUAGUUAUGGAAUUGAAGGCCUACCUCCAAGAACCUACGCCAGUCCCAAGACGGAUGAAAAGGAGAUGAACACGGGUCAACAACAAGAAAGAUUGGAAGAGGAAAACGGCUUAUAAGCCAUGGCUACAAGACAGCUCUUCUGAGAGCGAAGUUGAUCGCCGCGUGACCCUAGACCACCAGCAUCCGUCCAUUCAGGGAGACAACACAGGUGGAGACAACACAGAUGGACAAGGCAGGGACAUCAUAAAUCAAGUCGGAGGACAAGGAGGGGGGAGAAAAGGCCAAAUCUAUCCAAAUGCUAAAAUUACUGAUGAUGAGUCUCUGCUCUCAAUACUCUGCUAUGCUCUAAGACACACAACCACCAAGAUAGCUCUUAGUGAUUUAUUGGACAUUAUAAAUCUCCAUUGUCCAGAGGGGACGAACAGCGUUCCCAACAGUCUCUACAGGUUUAUGAAGUAUUUUGGCUUUAAUUACACUUUUGAAAUGCAGUAUAUUUGUCCAACAUGCCAGUAUUUCUUUGGCAGUAAAGUGCCAGAUCAUUGCACAUCAUGUGGUUGCCUCCUUGGGGAUAUGCCAUCUCUUGUCAAGAGUCAGUCAAAAAACAACUAGAGGAAAAGUUAUCAGACCCCAAAUUCUGCAACGCAUUAGAAUAUAAGUAUUCUAGGUCCAAGAGCAGCCCAGAUAGUAUAGAUGACAUUUAUGAUGGUGCACUAUACAAGUCAAUACAGUGAGGGAAAAAAGUAUUUGAUCCCCUGCUGAUUUUGUACG